This 497-nucleotide ribosomal RNA is filed under the name uncultured bacterium. RNAcentral's name for it is "partial 16S ribosomal RNA". It matches the Rfam family "Bacterial small subunit ribosomal RNA", at positions 28 to 507 of the family's 1533-position model. The record is from RNAcentral.
GAUGAACGCUGGCGGCGUGCCUAAUACAUGCAAGUCGAGCGAACAGACCAGGAGCUUGCUCCUCUGACGUAAGCGGCGGACGGGUGAGUAACACGUGGAUAACCUAACUAUAAGACUGGGAUAACUUCGGGAAAUCUGAGCUAAUACCGGAUAAUAUAUCGAACUGCAUGGUUCAAUCGUGAAAGUCGGUUUUGCUGUCACUUAUAGCUGGAUCCGCGCCGUAUCAGCUAGUUGGUAAGGUAACGGCGUACCAAGGCAACGAUGCGUAGCCGACCUGAGAGGGGAAGCGGCCACGCUGGAAUGGGGACAUGGCCCAGACUACUGCGGGAGGCAGCAGUAGGGAAUCUUUCGGAAAGGGAGAAGGGCGGACGGAGCAGCGACGCGUGAGUGAUGAAGGUCGUCGGGUCGUAAAACUCUGUUAGUAGGGAGGAUCGAAUGUGUAUGUAACUAUGCACGUCUUGACGGUAACUAAUCAGAGAGGCACGGCUAACUACGUG